RNAcentral lists this ribosomal RNA (500 nucleotides) under uncultured bacterium. RNAcentral's name for it is "partial 16S ribosomal RNA". It matches the Rfam family "Bacterial small subunit ribosomal RNA", at positions 30 to 523 of the family's 1533-position model. The record is from RNAcentral.
AUUGAACGCUGGCGGAAUGCUUUACACGUGCAAGUCGAACGGCAGCACGGACUUCGGUCUGGUGGCGAGUGGCGAACGGGUGAGUAAUGUAUCGGAACGUGCCCAGUCGUGGGGGAUAACGUAGUGAAAAUUACGCUAAUACCGCAUACGAUCUAUGGAUGAAAGCGGGGGAUCGCAAGACCUCGCGGGAUUGGAGCGGCCGAUAUCAGAUUAGGUAGUUGGUGGGGUAAAGGCCCACCAAGCCAACGAUCUGUAGCUGGUCUGAGAGGACGAACAGCCACACUGGAACUGAGACACGGUCCAGACUCCUACGGGAGGCAGCAGUGGGUAAUUUUGGACAAUGGGCGAAAGCCUGAUCCAGCCAUUCCGCGUGCAGGAUGAAGGCCCUCGGGUUGUAAACUGCUUUUGUACAGAACGAAAAGGUUUCUACUAAUACUAGGAGCUCAUGACGGUACUGUAAGAAUAAGCACCGGCUAACUACGUGCCAGCCGCCGCAGUAA